RNAcentral lists this ribosomal RNA (405 nucleotides) under uncultured bacterium. RNAcentral's name for it is "partial 16S ribosomal RNA". It matches the Rfam family "Bacterial small subunit ribosomal RNA", at positions 28 to 526 of the family's 1533-position model. The record is from RNAcentral.
GACGAACGCUGGCGGCGUGCUUAACACAUGCAAGUCGAGCGGAGCGGCGCACGGGUGAGUAACGCGUGAGUAACUGCCCCCCUCUCUGGGAUAACCGUUGGAAACGGCUGCUCAUACCGGAUAGUGGGGGAUGACGCGCGUCCUAUCAGGUUGUUGGUGGGGUAGUGGCCUACCAAGGCGACGACGGGUAGCCGGCCUGAGAGGGCGAGCGGCCACAUUGGGCUGAGAUACGGCCCAAACUGCUACGGGAGGCAGCAGUGGGGAAUAUUGCACAAUGUGGGAAACCCUGAGGCAGCAACGCCGGGUUCGGGAUGACGGCCUUCGGGUUGUGAACCGCUUUCAGCUAUGACGCGGUAGUUGCAGAAGAAGCACCGGCUAACUACGUGCCAGCAGCCGCGGUAAUUC